GACCUGGUGGUGAAAUGUAUCACAUCCACUCUAGUUAAAGUCACACCAUCAAAUCAUUUGUGGGAGGCUCCUGGUUCAAAUCCGGGUCAGGUUG
Mycena leptocephala is the source of this 94-nucleotide non-coding RNA. The record is from the annotation of a GenBank genome assembly. Lineage: Eukaryota; Fungi; Basidiomycota; Agaricomycetes; Agaricales; Mycenaceae.